Molecule: ribosomal RNA, 484 nt
Filed under: uncultured bacterium
Lineage: Bacteria
Description: partial 16S ribosomal RNA
Rfam family: Bacterial small subunit ribosomal RNA
Source: RNAcentral
AUUGAACGCUGGCGGCAGGCCUAACACAUGCAAGUCGAGCGGAUGAAGGGAGCUUGCUCCUGGAUUCAGCGGCGGACGGGUGAGUAAUGCCUAGGAAUCUGCCUGGUAGUGGGGGAUAACGUCCGGAAACGGGCGCUAAUACCGCAUACGUACUGAGGGAGAAAGUGGGGGAUCUUCGGACCUCACGCCAUCAGAUGAGCCUAGGUCGGAUUAGCUAGUUGGUGGGGUAAAUGCUUACCAAGGCGACGAUCCGUAACUGGUCUGAGAGGAUGAUCAGUCACACUGGAACUGAGACACGGUCCAGACUCCGACGGGAGGCAGCAGUGGAGAAUAUUGGACAAAGGGCGAAAGCCUGAUCCAGCCAUGCCGCGUGUGUGAAGAUGGUCUUCUGAUUGUAAAGCACUUUAAGUUGGAAGGAUGGGCAGUAAGUUAAUACCUUGCUGUUUUGACGUUACCAACAGAAUAAGCACCGGCUAACUUCGUG